GCAAGUAUGUUUCACUGUCAAGUGUUAAGGAGGUUGCUUAUUGAUUUACAGGGGCUGUGAUGGAUGAAUUGGAGGUAUAUAUGUGUGUGUUUUUGUAUAUAUUAUAUUGUUUCUAACCUGACCCCUUUUGUGCUUGAUAAUAUGAAUUGUAAUAUUCUUUCUAGAGCCUUGAAGAAAUCACUUGAACCUAAAAACCCAUUUCUUUAUAUGCUCACACACAACUAUGUGAAUGUGUACAUGAAAUGGAAGAAAGAUCCAAACUUUGAUACAAUUGAGUCCGUUAACAAGUCGAUUGAGCUCAAACCCUUGAUUUCUCUCAAGAAUUGUAUUGCAAAUUCACCAAAUGGGUGUAUUCCAAUUACAGAUGUUUCGAAAAGGGGUCUUCAGUUAGAUGUUCCUUGUAAGGUUGCGCGGUUUCUUAGAUUGUACCCUUCUGUUUUUGAGGAGUUUGUUGGUCCUAAUUAUGAUCUUCCUUGGUUUAAGUUGACCGGAAAAGCGGUUGAGUUAGAUCAAGAAGAGAGAGCUGUUUAUAGGGAUUUUAGAGAUGAUUUGCAAGGUAGGUUGAAGAAGUUUAUACUUAUGAGUGGUGAAAAGAGAUUGCCGUUAAAGAUAAUCAGGGGGAUGCAGUGGUAUUUGGGUUUGCCGGAUGAAUAUUUGGACGAUCCGGAGAAAAAUCUUGAUGGCUGUUUUAGGAUUGUAGAUAUUGAAGAUGGGUUGAAGGGUUUAGCUGUUGAAUGUGAGGAAAAGGUUUUGUCUUUUGUUCAGCGGAAUGCAAUGAGGAGAGGUGGGUAUAAUGGGGGAUCAAUGGAAGUCGUUGAAUUUCCGCUUUUUCCAUCGAAGGGGAUGAGGUUGAAGAGGAAGAUUGGUGAUUGGUUUCAUAAAUUUCAAGAGGUGCCAUAUGUUUCACCGUAUGACNACGAAAAAAUUGCAGGUGCACAGAUGGUCUUCUUUAUACUGAAUGUAGUCGAGGCAAUCGGAGUGGCAAUGACUUUCAAACCAUUUCUAGUAGAACGGCAGAAAUAAAAAGUGUUUAGGCUUGGACAUGGAUAAGUUUUAUCUAUUCUUUUUGUCAAUAUAAUCUGGUAUUUAAACUUCAGAUUAGUUAGUACAUGAUCUGUGCAGUUCAGAUAUGAAAUGCCUGUUGUUGAGAAAUUAUUGUCUGGGCAACAUUGACACUCAACUUGGUCAUAUAUAGUUAAUAUAAACACCAGACGUGACAGUGUAUUCAUUGAUGUUGAAUGUGAGCGGAGUCAUUUGUCAUUUAUGUUCUCUGUUUUUCUUCAAGUACUUCUCUUACAAAUCACUUUAAGUCAAUUCCUGCGCAAGGCUUCAUGAUCUGGUGAUGUUUGUCUUGAAAGUUGAAGUACAAAGUCUCAGGUAAAAUUCAUGAUCGCGAUCCGGUUUGGUUCGGAUUAGAGGUAAAACCGAAACCAAAUCAUACAUUCGCGGUUUUUUAAAAUCUCAAACCAACCCGCCACCGCAAACCAAUUAACCGGAUCAAACAGUACAGUUUUUAUGGAUUGAUGGGUUUAAUAUUACUUUGUAAUAAUAAUUUUUAUACAAAAAGUUAGAGAAAUAAUCAUUCCAUAAAACUUAAAAUAAUUUCCUCGAAAAAUAAUUUUAGUCUAAAAAUUAUUUUAAAAAAAAUAUUUCCGUGUGUCAAUAUUUUAAAAGUCUUUGAUUAAAUUAAAGAUAUCACUAAUUAAUUCUUACAAAAUAAUUUAUCAAUUCGACUAAAAAUCCAUUAUACCAUGCCCUCGAUUCAUCUAAACUGAAGCCAUCUUCAACCUUUACUGCAAGUAUGUUUCACUGUCAAGUGUUAAGGAGGUUGCUUAUUGAUUUACAGGGGCUGUGAUGGAUGAAUUGGAGGUAUAUAUGUGUGUGUUUUUGUAUAUAUUAUAUUGUUUCUAACCUGACCCCUUUUGUGCUUGAUAAUAUGAAUUGUAAUAUUCUUUCUAGAGCCUUGAAGAAAUCACUUGAACCUAAAAACCCAUUUCUUUAUAUGCUCACACACAACUAUGUGAAUGUGUACAUGAAAUGGAAGAAAGAUCCAAACUUUGAUACAAUUGAGUCCGUUAACAAGUCGAUUGAGCUCAAACCCUUGAUUUCUCUCAAGAAUUGUAUUGCAAAUUCACCAAAUGGGUGUAUUCCAAUU
Molecule: long non-coding RNA, 2155 nt
Filed under: Daucus carota (carrot)
Lineage: Eukaryota; Viridiplantae; Streptophyta; Magnoliopsida; Apiales; Apiaceae
Description: long non-coding RNA (DCAR_LNC006483)
Source: RNAcentral